Molecule: long non-coding RNA, 1453 nt
Filed under: Apteryx rowi (Okarito brown kiwi)
Lineage: Eukaryota; Metazoa; Chordata; Aves; Apterygiformes; Apterygidae
Description: lncRNA (ENSARWG00000018786.1)
Source: RNAcentral
AUGGGAUCUAGAGCAGCCACGUGUCCUCCUGCGGGGCGCAGGUGCCCCUCGAAGGCGGGCGAGGAGCGGGCAGAGGUCGCUGAGCCUGCCUGGGGGCCGGCGGGAGGGAAGGCGCAACCGCGGCGGGAACCGCUGAUGGAGCGGCUCAGAGCAGAAGGCGCAGCUCUGCGAGUCUCGGGUGAGGGGGGAACCGAAGGUGGUGGUGGUGGCCGAGCAAGGCUCAGAAGCACAUUUCAGCUCUUUCAGUUCUCUUUCACUUUCGCACCUAUUCUUUUUGAUUAUCUGAAAACGGUUUUCACAACGGAACUGCACCUUACAGCGGGAGAUUUCACUUUUCACUGCGCUGAUCAGGAGCACACUUGGCUGGUGUUGCUGCUUAACCUCUCAUUGGAACUGCAGAGGCAGCACGAGAGAAAUCAGAAUUCAUGUCAGCUGACGUGAGAUUACGCGGAGGUUUUCAGUUUCCACCUAGACUGGAAAGAGCAGCGGUGGUCGUCAGCCGAGAAGGCAAACUGUCACAGCGAGGAUCUGCCACAAUCCRUUUGGCCCUUCUGAAAAAAAUAAGCAGAAGACUCAGCUGGGGCGUUGAGCAGUACCUAACAAAUUUUGAAGCUAAUACUAAUACUGCUAAUCCCUAGACAUAAAGUGUGAUCGCUGCAGGUGUUCAGAUGGUCUUUUCUUUAUUUCCAAGACAAACUUUGUUCUAUAAGCAAAACUCUCUACUGCGACAAUCCCAGUAAAGCCUAAGAAGCUUGCUUCACACGCCAAAAGUGAGUGUUAUUGUAGAUUCACACCCAAAGCACAGUACGUGGGGGACCAGGUUUGCUCCUUUGCAGCUUGGCCCUGAGCAAUGAUUGUCUCGACCUUGUAUUCAACAAGUCUGUUUAUCCCUGCAAUUUAGGACCUGGCGGGUGAUGUUUGUUCAGCGAGUGAUGGCUCAGAUACAUCUACACCCUGAAAAUGGCCUGGGAGCCUUCCAGAGAGCCUGCAACGCACAUCCUGCCAAAGGAAAUCUUACACUUAGACACACUUUAUUUAAAGAAUGUGUUUUACUUCUGCAGACUUGCAGCACAGUUACAUCAGAGGCUUUUCCUUCGCAGAGAGUUGAAGGCAGCCAGGCUAGAACAAAUGCCCUGGUAUUUCACGGACACUGAUACAGCUACGUGUUUGGUGCCUGCCUUGCUCAGAAUUACCUGUGUCAGCUGUCCUUCGUUUAUCUAGCUAUGCCUCUUAAGUGAAUGCUGAUUGCCAGCUUUGGGGUUUCUCUGGAGACAGUUUGCUGUGAUUGUAGGACAUUAAAAAAUAUCUUAUUUUAUAGAAAGAUGAGGGACUCUGGCAAACACUGAAUAGCAUGAUCAAAUCAUUGACAAGAAUGACUUAGAGUUUGUUUCCUUUCCCCAAACUAUUUAUUCAGCACGUUUGAAGGCAAGCUGUGAAUAUUAUGUAAAGAAAU